GUGACCUCAAAUCAGGUAGGACUACCCGCUGAACUUAAGCAUAUCAAUAAGCGGAGGAAAAGAAACUAACAAGGAUUCCCCUAGUAACUGCGAGUGAAGCGGGAAAAGCUCAAAUUUAAAAUCUGGCGGUUUUUUUGGCCGUCCGAGUUGUAAUCUAGAGAAGUGUUAUCCGCGCUGGACCGUGUACAAGUCUCCUGGAAUGGAGCAUCAUAGAGGGUGAGAAUCCCGUCUUUGACAUGGACUGCCAGGGCUUUGUGAUGCGCUCUCAAAGAGUCGAGUUGUUUGGGAAUGCAGCUCAAAAUGGGUGGUAAAUUCCAUCUAAAGCUAAAUAUUGGCGAGAGACCGAUAGCGAACAAGUACCGUGAGGGAAAGAUGAAAAGAACUUUGGAAAGAGAGUUAAACAGUACGUGAAAUUGCUGAAAGGGAAACGCUUGAAGUCAGUCGCGUCGUCCAGGGAUCAACCUUGCUUUUGCUUGGUGCACUUUCUGGUUUGACGGGUCAGCAUCAAUUUUGACUAUUGGAAAAAGGCUAAGGGAAUGUGGCAUCUUUGGAUGUGUUAUAGCCCUUGGUCACAUACAAUGGUUGGGAUUGAGGAACUCAGCAUGCCGCAAGGCCGGGUU
This 620-nucleotide ribosomal RNA is filed under the name Cortinarius saniosus. RNAcentral describes it as "eukaryotic LSU rRNA". It matches the Rfam family "Eukaryotic large subunit ribosomal RNA", at positions 1 to 617 of the family's 3401-position model. The record is from RNAcentral. Lineage: Eukaryota; Fungi; Basidiomycota; Agaricomycetes; Agaricales; Cortinariaceae.